This 63-nucleotide transfer RNA is filed under the name Aegista aubryana. Its description in RNAcentral is "tRNA-Gly". Lineage: Eukaryota; Metazoa; Mollusca; Gastropoda; Stylommatophora; Camaenidae. The record is from RNAcentral.
UUUUAAUUAGUAUAUAUCAGUACAUUUACCUUCCAAGUAAAAAGUCCAAUCGAUUAUUACAUA